ACACCCCUGAAGGUUGCUGCAGGAGAGACCUCCAAACACACCCCUGAAGGUUGCUGCAGGAGAGACCUCCAAACACACCCCUGAAGGUUGCUGCAGGAGAGACCUCCAAACACACCCCUGAAGGUUGCUGCAGGAGAGACCUCCAAACACAACCCUGAAGGUUGCUGCAGGACAGGCCUGGCAGAAGAUCUGGCUAACCAUAGAUUCUACCGGAGGAUCCUGAGCUCAGCACAGAACCCGCUGAUAUCCUGUCCUUUAAACUCAGGAACAAACUCUUCAUACCGCCCGACUGUUCGACCACCUGCACGCUACAAUACAAAUGUAUUAAUCCCCCACAUGUGGAGUGUUCAGGUCUGACAAGAUACUAAAAGUCCACAGCCGCCGCAGUUUAGCCCUGCCGUUAAUAUCUCCAGAGCGGGCCUGGGUCCUCCUUCCGGGUCCGGUUGACUUGGACCAGGGCUCCCGGGUGCAGUGUGACUCAUGGGACGGCGGAGGCGGUAUCCAAGGUGAGCAGACAGAAGUGCGGGUUCAGGACACGGAGGCGGUCCCUCGGGAUGUCUCGAGGACUUCCGCCCGGCCGCUCUGAGAAUGAGGCCCGAUCUCGGAGAGCAGGUGUUCACAAUGGCUCCGAGGAGGUUCCUGUUCUAAAAAGGGAGAGGUGUGAACGAGCGUAUGCAGGAUAAGGGG
Esox lucius (northern pike) is the source of this 687-nucleotide long non-coding RNA. The record is from Ensembl. Lineage: Eukaryota; Metazoa; Chordata; Actinopteri; Esociformes; Esocidae.